GUGGGGAAUCUUCCGCAAUGGACGAAAGUCUGACGGAGCAACGCCGCGUGAGUGAAGAAGGUUUUCGAAUCGUAAAGCUCUGUUGUCAGGGACGAGCAGGGGGAGUAUCAACAACACUCUCUCAUGACGGUACCUGACGAGGAAGCCACGGCUAACUACGUGCCAGCAGCCGCGGUAAUACGUAGGUGGCGAGCGUUGUCCGGAAUUAUUGGGCGUAAAGGGAGCGCAGGUGGGAAAGUAAGUCUGCUUUAAAAGUGCGGGGCUCAACCCCGUGGGGGAGUGGAAACUAUUUUUCUUGAGUGCAGGAGAGGAAAGCGGAAUUCCUAGUGUAGCGGUGAAAUGCGUAGAUAUUAGGAGGAACACCAGUGGCGAAGGCGACUUUCUGGACGAUGUCUGACGCUGAGGCGCGAAAGCUAGGGGAGCGAACGGGAUUAGAAACCCCAGUAGUCC
RNAcentral lists this ribosomal RNA (450 nucleotides) under uncultured bacterium. Its description in RNAcentral is "partial 16S ribosomal RNA". It matches the Rfam family "Bacterial small subunit ribosomal RNA", at positions 354 to 796 of the family's 1533-position model. The record is from RNAcentral.